Molecule: long non-coding RNA, 2327 nt
Filed under: Macaca fascicularis (crab-eating macaque)
Lineage: Eukaryota; Metazoa; Chordata; Mammalia; Primates; Cercopithecidae
Description: lncRNA (ENSMFAG00000063287.1)
Source: RNAcentral
GGGCUGUUCGGCCAAGCGCCCGCCGGACAUGGGACGCUGGAGGGUCAGCGGCGUGAAGUCCUCGCCUUCAGCGUCCACGGCUGGGAAAUUGGCUAUCGCCACGGCGGGAACUAGGACUCUGGCUGCGUCCCGGCCCUUCCUCAUCAGUCCACCGGACUCUUGGGCGCGCGCACUGGCGCGGGUGUAGUUUGCUCACCUCUGACCCGUAUUGUCUUGAGAUUAAAGGAAUUGGGAGCUUCUUUUGCUAUUCUUCUAUCUUGGAUGCAUUGGAAGAGCUGCUCCUGGAUCCCGCAGCAGCGAGGAGACCUGAAGACCAGAGGAAACACAGCAAUCCCUGGAUCCUCCUGAAAUCCCCAAUCCCUGUUGCUCCCUCGGGGAGGUUUCUAGUCCCUCUGACUUGAAGCAUGGCUUUCAGAGCCCGGCGCCACCCAGCUUGGGUAUCUGAGACGGGGUUUUGCCAUGUUGCCCAUGCUGGUCUCUAACUCUUGGACUCAAGCGAUCCUCCUGCUUUGGCCCCACAAAAUGCUGGGAUUACAGGCAUGAGCCACGGCACCUGGCCAGGAAUUGUUCAUUUUCUUCAGGUUGGAAUGCAGUGGCACGAUCUCGGCUCACUGCAACCUCUGCCUCCUGGGAUCAAGCAAGAUUGUCCUGCCUCAGCCUCCUGAGUACCCGGGAAUACAGACAGAGUAUCACCCUGUUACCCAGGCUGAAGUGCAGUGGUAAGACCUCGGCUCACUACAACCUCUGCCUCCUAGGUUCAAGAGAUUCUCCUGCCUCAGCCUCCCAAGUAGUUGGGAUUAAACUAAGCUAAACUAUGGGGUUUGGAGGGCUCCUGGAUUAUUGAACACAUAAAGGUUCCUGGAGAGUGGUGCAGCCAGAGAGGGCAUGGAAGCUCUGCACCCCUCCCCCAUCCCUUGUCCUAUGCAUCUCUUCCAUCUGGCUGUUAAUCUACACUCCCUCUAUACCUAUUGACAUACAGUCAACAACAUAAGCAAGAGUCACACACAGUCAAGAAAAACCGUUCACGUGGCUGCAAGUGGCCACACACCUAAUGCUAUCACAAUCAUGCACAACGUCAAACAGCCGGCUAGCGCCACACACACACGCACACACGGAGAUGCGCGCGCACACCCACUUGUGCACAGAGACGCACGCACGCAGACACACGUGCGCACAGAGACGCACACACAGACACGUGCGCACACAGAGACGCAAACACAGACACGUGCACACAGGCAAACAGACGCGCAGAGACGCACACACAGACACACGUGUGCACACAGGCAAACAGACAAGUGCCAGAGACGCACACACAGACACACGUGUGCACAGAGAUGCAAACGCAGACACACGCGUGCACACAGUGACGCGCGCACACACAGACACACGGGCGCGCACAGGUCUCGCCCGCGCCAGCUCCGACUCCAGCAGCCUUGGAGUUCCCGCCCAGCCCCGGGCUCCUGGCUCCCUCACCGACUGCAUCUCGCGGGGCGAUCCCGGUCGGGUUCCGCCUGAGCCAAGGCCCCGCACCCAAACCGCGACAGCGGACCCAGAAGCCCGAAGCCCGCAACCCGGCGAAGGAACCCGGACUCAGAGUAGCCUCCGGCACAGAGCCCUCCAAGAAAAGCAGCCCGGGACCCCGACAACCGUGGACAGAGCCGGGGGGGCCAUAAACCCAAACUAGGCAACUCGAGGCAUCAUCAACGGAGGGUCCUUAAGAGACCCUGCACCCAAUCACCCAGGCACCAGGGACUCUGCCAAAGCACGAAUUCGGGCAGGUGGUAGCCUCGAGGCUGGGAGGCUGCAUCACAAGCCGCCUCCUAGAUGCGCGGUGGACCCUGGGAAAUGUAGUCCAGCGCAAGCCACCACCUAGAUGCGCCGUGGACCCUGGGAAAGGUAGUCCAGCGCCAGUCGCCGCCUGGAUGCGCGGUGGACCGUGGGAAAUGUGAUCCGGGUUUUCUGCGCGGGCGCCUUAGGCGCGGAGCUUUCGGGGUUGCAGUGACUGUCCUCCCUUCGAGCCCGCCAGAUCGGAUCCUAGAAUGUCCGGCCGCAGCCCCUUGGCUUAGAACUGGGCCUCUAACGCGGCUGGGGUCAUACACGCCCUCUAGGCGCGGGUUGGUGCACGCGUUGGAAUCUCAGGGGAGGCAGAAAACCCUGCAGCUCUAACCCAGGGAGCUGCCAAAGCGAUUCAGAGGAGCCCGGGGGACGCGUAGCUACAGACCCCGACUCUGCGCAAAUGCAAAUCCAUGGCUCUGGCAAGGGCAGCGAGGCUCGCCGGGUCUGAGGCCGUGGAUCCCUAAACUCAAAAGAAAUAAAACAUCACAUGA